UUCAACGGCCGCGGUAUCCUAACCGUGCGAAGGUAGCGCAAUCACUUGUCUUUUAAAUGAGGACCUGUAUGAAUGGCAUAACGAGGGCUUAACUGUCUCCUUUUUCCAGUCAAUGAAAUUGAUCUCCCCGUGCAGAAGCGAGGAUAAAACCAUAAGACGAGAAGACCCUGUGGAGCUUUAGACAACUAAUGGGUCAUGUAAAUAAAACCCUGUUAAUAGAAAUAAACCUAUUGAAUACCAUUGAAUGUCUUCGGUUGGGGCGACCGCGGGGAAACAAAAAACCCCCAUGUGGAUAAAGAGUAAACACCACUCUUACAACAAAGACUGACAAGUCUAAGUAACAGAAAAUCUGACCAAUAAAUGAUCCGGCAAUGCCGAUCAACGAACCAAGUUACCCCAGGGAUAACAGCGCAAUCCCCUCCCAGAGCCCAUAUCGACGAGGGGGUUUACGACCUCGAUGUUGGAUCAGGAUAUCCUAAUGGUGUAACCGUUAUUAAGGGUUCGUUUGUUCAACGAUUAA
RNAcentral lists this ribosomal RNA (520 nucleotides) under Strongylura strongylura (spottail needlefish). RNAcentral's name for it is "partial 16S large subunit ribosomal RNA". It matches the Rfam family "Bacterial large subunit ribosomal RNA", at positions 1923 to 2591 of the family's 2925-position model. The record is from RNAcentral. Lineage: Eukaryota; Metazoa; Chordata; Actinopteri; Beloniformes; Belonidae.